Molecule: ribosomal RNA, 448 nt
Filed under: uncultured bacterium
Lineage: Bacteria
Description: SSU rRNA
Rfam family: Bacterial small subunit ribosomal RNA
Source: RNAcentral
AGAGCGAACGCUGGCGGCAGGCCUAACACAUGCAAGUCGAGCGGCCGUAGCAAUACGGCAGCGGCAGACGGGAGAGUAACACGUGGGAACGCGCCCUUCGGUUCGGAAUAACUCAGGGAAACUUGGGCUAAUACCGGAUACGCCCUUACGGGGAAAGAUUUAUUGCCGAAGGAACGGCCCGCGUCCGAUUAGCUUGUUGGUGAGGUAACGGCUCACCAAGGCGACGAUCGGUAGCUGGUCUGAGAGGAUGACCAGCCUCACUGGGACUGAGACACGGCCCAGACUCCUACGGGAGGCAGCAGUGGGGAAUAUUGGACAAUGGGCGCAAGCCUGAUCCAGCCAUGCCGCGUGGGUGAUGAAGGCCCUAGGGUUGUAAAGCCCUUUCGGCGGGGAAGAUAAUGACGGUACCCGCAGAAGAAGCCCCGGCUAACUUCGUGCCAGCAGCCGC